Molecule: long non-coding RNA, 1089 nt
Filed under: Homo sapiens (human)
Lineage: Eukaryota; Metazoa; Chordata; Mammalia; Primates; Hominidae
Description: HSALNT0066083
Source: RNAcentral
CUUCGAGCAAGUGACUUAGCCUGUUUGUACCUCUGGGACAUGGGGACAAUACAGCUACGUACCUCAUAAGUUUGUUUUAAUGAAUAAAUAAUGGUGAAAGAAGAGCUGAAAUUUACUGGAUCUUCCCUAGUAACAGAAGAGCAGAAACAUGGUUCUGGAGGCUGGAAGCGGGCCAUGUCCACAUCAGGCACUUGCAAAGAGCAAGGGGCAGCAGGAUGUUGGGACUGGCCAGACCUGCUCACGGAGGGCUGGGAACAACAGGUGACUGAGGAUGCAUCAGAAAGCUGAGAUUUGCAGUUCUCAAAUGAAGAAGCAGAAUUCACAGUGGGAAGUGGAGUGUUGGGUCAAACAUUGCUUUGGAAGUUAAACCCUCUAACGAAUUACCAGGAUUGGAAAGAGCUUCGGCCUGAAAGAUAGGAGAUCACAACCUUGUCUCAGCAUGCUAGGAACUUGCUAUUUGACUGUGAACAGUCAUGAAGUCCUUGCCUGCGCCUAUGUCCUGAAUGAACAAGCAACCUACAGAAUGGGAGAAAAUUUUUGCAAUCUACCCAUCUGACAGUGGGCUAAUAUCCAGAAUCUACAAAGAACUUAAACAAAUUUACAAGAAAAAAACAAACAACCUCAUCAAAAAGUGGGCAAAGGAUGUGACAGACACUUCUCAAAAGAAGACAUUUAUGCAGCCGACAGACACAUGAAAAAAUGCUCAUCAUCAGUGGUGCAGAGAAAUGCAAAUCAAACCACAAUGAGACACCAUCUCACACCAGUUAGCAUGGUGAUCAUUAAAAAGUCAGGAAACAACAGAUGCUGAGGAGGAUGUGGAGAAAUAGGAAUGCUUUUACACUCUUGGUGGGAGUAUAAACUAGUUCAACCAUAGUGGAAGACAGUGUGGCAAUUCCUCAAGGAUCUAGAACUAGAAAUACCAUUUGACCCAGUGAUCCCAUUCCUGGGUAUAUACCCAAAGGAUUAUAAAUCGUGCUACUAUAAAGACACAUGCACACGUAUGUUCACUGUGGCACUAUUCACAAUAGCAAAAACUUGUAACCAAACCAAAUGUCCACCAAUGAUAGACUAGAUUAAGAAAAUGUGGCA